RNAcentral lists this long non-coding RNA (1435 nucleotides) under Setaria viridis. RNAcentral's name for it is "long non-coding RNA (SVIR_LNC010982)". The record is from RNAcentral. Lineage: Eukaryota; Viridiplantae; Streptophyta; Magnoliopsida; Poales; Poaceae.
CUGGAUAACUGGUGAUAAAAACUAGAGCAAGAGAUAAAACCUAUAAUUCUAAUUAAUAUUGAUAACUCGUAAAUAAAUCUAAACAAAACAACAGCAAUGCACCCUAAGUUAAAGCUUAGAUAUUACUCAAUAAGCGGAACUUACAAAUCGGUCGGAGAUCGUGUCGAUGCAGCCCUGCCAAUCCGUACGAACUCGUGAAAAGAAAAGGUUCUUGGCGAAGUCGCCGACUUGAAAGUAAAGUGCGAGGAGUAAGUAAAUUUGUUGUAUUGAUUGAUGUCCUUUACAAACCUCUAGAGGUGACUAUUUAUAGCAUGUUACAACUGAUUUCCUAACCGACUAGGAUCUAUCUCUAAUUUUAAAUAACAAUAAAUAUUUACAAACACAACUCGUAUCGGAGUUGGUUAUCAUAUCCCACGGGCCAACCUUCUUCUUUAGCUAAUCUUCUCUCCGGCCCACUUUAGGCCCAUACUGGCCAAGCCGCUCCAGCUCCCAAUCGGCCAAUCCUUGCUGACUUCUUUUACCAAUCGGCCAAAACACUGUAGCUUCAAUCGGCCGAUUCCCAACUGUAGCUUUUAGCUUGCCGCGUCGGCCAAUCUUUUCCCUCCUUGACGCUGAUUCAAAAUAUGUGUCAACAACCCCCUAGGCUACAAGCCGAGUUCGCGAUUUCACCCUCAACUACAAAACCAACCGUUCUGACUCCUCGUAUGUGCAAAACUAGUUGUGUGACCACCCCGACCCGAAUCCACCCCAGUUUCGGCCAACGUGGCGAUAUAUAAGCUCCACAACACAAAUCCAACGUGGCAUGGGCCCACAUGUCAUGUCUCUUCUUUCUCCCGCAUUCAUCUCUCUCUCCUUUCCUCCUCUCUCUUUCUUCCUCUGAUCCUGCAUUGUUAACCUGGACGAGGAGGUUGUGAACGCAAGCGGCGUAUCGGAGCUCAGUCACGUCUCCCGUCGCACGUCCGGCCGCCACCCCAGCGCUCCUCACGCGGGUCGUGGCCCUUGCCGUGCUUGUGCUUGUCCCGGUUGCGGUGGCGGACCACGCGCCACUGGUAGAGGAGCAACUGGGCGUGUUCUCGUUGUGGAUGGGAAUUGAGUGCUGCACCAGCUGGUAUGGCGUCCAUUCACUAGUCCUCGCCUUCAGGUUCUUAGGGCGGGACGUGCUCGGCGAAAUGCGGCAACGUGGAGGCCUCGGUGAACUGGCUCGUGUCCCCGCAAGACCUGCAGCUCCGGGGCCGAGCACAUGCAAGACAUAUCUCGGUGAAGUGGCUGGAGUAGUUUUCUACUAGCUACUUGCAUCCCGAUUGGAGCGGUGGAAAAUUGGAUGGCAUGAUGGAGGAAAGGGGGAUGUGCUGCUAUGGUUUGGAUUUUUGAGCCGCAGAACAGGGUGCCUAUCAUCGGCGCCAUCUGCCGGCUUAUCUUCCACCGUGGUUCCCUC